AACUUAUGGGAUAUACUGAUUUCAGUUUUCAAUCAGAUCGUGAUGAUAGCAGAAGUGUGUCGGGCUACGUAUUUAUUUUGAAUGGAGAAGCUGUUUGCUGGAACAGUUUCAAGCAACAUACUAUGGCCGAUUCUGCAUGCGAAGCAAAACACAAUACUGCAUUGGAUGCUGCAUGUUCUGUGGUGCUAUCACCGGUGAGAG
RNAcentral lists this long non-coding RNA (201 nucleotides) under Elaeis guineensis (African oil palm). RNAcentral describes it as "long non-coding RNA (EGUI_LNC067770)". Lineage: Eukaryota; Viridiplantae; Streptophyta; Magnoliopsida; Arecales; Arecaceae. The record is from RNAcentral.